GUGGGGAAUAUUGGGCAAUGGGCGAAAGCCUGACCCAGCAACGCCGCGUGAAGGAAGAAGGUUUUCGGAUCGUAAACUUCUAUCCUUGGUGAAGAUAAUGACGGUAGCCAAGAAGGAAGCCCCGGCUAACUACGUGCCAGCAGCCGCGGUAAUACGUAGGGGGCAAGCGUUGUCCGGAAUGAUUGGGCGUAAAGGGCGCGUAGGCGGCCCGGUAAGUCUGAAGUGAAAGUCCUGCUUUUAAGGUGGGAAUUGCUUUGGAUACUGUCGGGCUUGAGUGCAGGAGAGGUAAGCGGAAUUCCCGGUGUAGCGGUGAAAUGCGUAGAGAUCGGGAGGAACACCAGUGGCGAAGGCGGCUUACUGGACUGUAACUGACGCUGAGGCGCGAAAGUCGGGGGAGCAAACAGGAUUAGAAACCCCUGUAGUCC
This 425-nucleotide ribosomal RNA is filed under the name uncultured bacterium. RNAcentral describes it as "partial 16S ribosomal RNA". It matches the Rfam family "Bacterial small subunit ribosomal RNA", at positions 354 to 796 of the family's 1533-position model. The record is from RNAcentral.